This 350-nucleotide transfer-messenger RNA is filed under the name Oscillospiraceae. RNAcentral's name for it is "JAAYSD01 sp012518465 Standard tmRNA". It matches the Rfam family "transfer-messenger RNA". From Rfam's summary of the family: Bacterial tmRNA, also known as 10Sa RNA or SsrA, is named for its dual tRNA and mRNA-like properties. The record is from RNAcentral. Lineage: Bacteria; Bacillati; Bacillota; Clostridia; Eubacteriales. RNAcentral also lists the same sequence under 1 other name.
GGGGGCGUAAAGGUUUCGACGGGGACUUUGCACCAUGAUUAGCGAGUAGUGUGGGCGAAAACACUUUAAAAGUCGCAACCUAAAUUUUAAACGCAGACGAAAAUUCUGUUUUAGCAGCUGCCUAAGGCAGCCGCCGUCGGUUAUUGAAGUACCACGGUCUUUAAUCGGCGUCACUUAGUGGUGAACGCAUUCGGUCUACGCCUUUAAGCCGUUUGUGUAACAAAGGCUACUAAUUGGCAUAGCUUGUUUGUCAGCGAUGCCAUGCAGGAAUUUUAAACGGCAAACUGCACUCGGAGAAGGUUAUGGGAAUAGGUUUUCGGACAGGAGUUCGAUUCUCCUCGCCUCCACCA